GUACACUCCUACGGGAGGCAGCAGUGGGGAAUUUUGGACAAUGGGCGAAAGCCUGAUCCAGCAAUGCCGCGUGAGUGAAGAAGGCCUUCGGGUUGUAAAGCUCUUUUGUCAGGGAAGAAACGGUGAAAGCUAAUAUCUUUUGCUAAUGACGGUACCUGAAGAAUAAGCACCGGCUAACUACGUGCCAGCAGCCGCGGUAAUACGUAGGGUGCAAGCGUUAAUCGGAAUUACUGGGCGUAAAGCGUGCGCAGGCGGUUUUGUAAGUCUGAUGUGAAAUCCCCGGGCUCAACCUGGGAAUUGCAUUGGAGACUGCAAGGCUAGAAUCUGGCAGAGGGGGGUAGAAUUCCACGUGUAGCAGUGAAAUGCGUAGAUAUGUGGAGGAACACCGAUGGCGAAGGCAGCCCCCUGGGUCAAGAUUGACGCUCAUGCACGAAAGCGUGGGGAGCAAACAGGAUUAGAAACCCUUGUAGUCCCAU
Molecule: ribosomal RNA, 476 nt
Filed under: uncultured organism
Description: partial 16S ribosomal RNA
Rfam family: Bacterial small subunit ribosomal RNA
Source: RNAcentral